Molecule: small RNA, 29 nt
Filed under: Bombyx mori (domestic silkworm)
Lineage: Eukaryota; Metazoa; Arthropoda; Insecta; Lepidoptera; Bombycidae
Description: ovarian small RNA-24925
Source: RNAcentral
UCAAUUGACCACUCCGCCAUUGUGUGGAC